GACGACAUGGUGAAAUGGUCAACACAUCGGCCUCCGGAGCCGAAGAUUGCGGGUUCGAGUCCCGUUGUCGUCG
This is a transfer RNA of Phycomyces blakesleeanus NRRL 1555(-), 73 nucleotides long. It matches the Rfam family "tRNA". From Rfam's summary of the family: Transfer RNA (tRNA) molecules are approximately 80 nucleotides in length. Their secondary structure includes four short double-helical elements and three loops (D, anti-codon, and T loops). The record is from Rfam. Lineage: Eukaryota; Fungi; Mucoromycota; Mucoromycetes; Mucorales; Phycomycetaceae.